GUAAAUGUAGAGUCCAGAUGUAGCUCAAAUAAUAAUAAGAGUAUUAUUGGGCAACGAUGAACACCUAAUGAAAGAGAUGCAUCAGAGAAAGUGGGAAACCCCAAAUUCAUCUGAAACAAUCUCUCUCAGGUUAAUUUACCAGCCAUGUAACGGUCUCUACCAACAUAAACACGGUAGAUACCUGACUAUAUGUCUGGUUUUCAAAUGCAACAACA
Molecule: long non-coding RNA, 215 nt
Filed under: Medicago truncatula (barrel medic)
Lineage: Eukaryota; Viridiplantae; Streptophyta; Magnoliopsida; Fabales; Fabaceae
Description: lncRNA gene44824
Source: RNAcentral